Long non-coding RNA from Cyprinus carpio carpio, 6824 nucleotides. The record is from Ensembl. Lineage: Eukaryota; Metazoa; Chordata; Actinopteri; Cypriniformes; Cyprinidae.
AGAAGCUUCGAGGAACCAAACAAAACGGGUAGUUAAAGACCAUAAUUACACCACUAUCAACAUUAUUUUCCAGCAUCAUCAAUCAGAGUUGCACAUGCUAGAAAACUUUGGCGUUGUUAGAUGAGUCUUUGUGCCAUGUAUUCAUGGAGGACUGAUUCAGAUUGGAUUUCUCAGGUUGCUCUUUUAAAGCUCAGAAGACAUUAUGAGGCUCAGUUUAGAUGUUAUUGAGUCAAUAUUACAUCUGAUUGAGAAAUUAAAACCCUUUCUGUGGGUCAUUUUGAUCGCACACUUUCUAAAAGCAGAAACCAAAGUCAAACUGUUAAUAAGAUACAUGAACAUUUGACUCUAAAACUCUUGCAACAAAUGUAAAAUGAGUCCAUCUUCAUGUGUCUAGUUCGGUUAAAUCUUGCUUUGCAUUUCACCAGAACUCUCCGUCUUGGCAGCAAACACAUGGCAAAGCUCCCAGUCGAGAUACAGGUGUAAGGUGGUUCAGGUUGUGCUGGAAAAACACUUUGUGGUUUAUUUACAAUAACAGUAACUGCUAAAAGUGUCUUCAUUUUGAUCGUUAUGAAUAAUGAAACGCUAAUGAAUAAUCCUGGCUAAAUGUGCCCUAACAUGGAAAUUCCCAUAUUUAAGGGAGUUACUUGGCUUGGAUUAAAACUGGCAAAGCUCUGUUUUCAUGCAAAACGGUGACAUCUGCAACGUUUGGCUUUUAUUUAUACUUUGAAGAUUAUUAACUGAAACACAAUGACUCUUACUGGCAUGUACUGUAUCCAAGAUGAAAGAUGGUUCAAAAUGUAGGCAGCAACAUUUUGCUGUCUUCUAAAAUCCAAUUCGUGCAAGAUGAAGAAACAUUGACAUAUUUUUUUUUAAAAAGUUUUCUUUUCUCAAGUUUUUGUAACUCAAAAGUUACAAUUAAUCAGCCAGUAUUUUUGUGUGCCAUGCAUUUUUAUGCUGAUUAAACUCUAAAGUUAAGGAAAUUAUUCUCAGUGUGCAAUAUGCAUCAGAUCUUCAGUUAAUUGAUUAUAACCAUUAAAGGAAUGGUUCAUCCUAAAAUGAAAAAUUAAUGAUAAUGUACUCACCCUCAGGCCAUUCAAAGAUGAGUUUGUUUCUUCAUCAGAACAGAUUUGGAAAAAUUUAGCAUUACAUCACUUGCUCAGCAAUGGAUCCUCUACAGUGAAUGGGUGCCGUCAGAAUGAGAGUCCUAACAGCUGAUUAAAAACAUCCAAAGUAAUCCACUCCAGUCCAGCUAUUAAUGUCUUGAGAAGACAAAAGCUGCGUGUUUGUAAGAAACUAAGACAUUCUAAUGUCGAACCAUUGCUUUUGGCUAAAGUAAGAGUCCAUAAUCCAUAAUAAUAAUUCCUCCAGUGAAAAAGACCAUCUCCUGUUGUCUCUCACAUCAAAAUCCACCCACAUAUUUGUUUAGAAUUGUUUUGAACUGAUUUGGCUUGUAAAUGGUGCUUGAUCUGUACAGAUUUCUCUCCUGAUUCAGACCAGAUGAGUUUUUCAUUGGAGGAAGCAUUAUGGAUUAUGGACUCAUAUUUUAGCUGAAAGCAACAGUUUGUAGAUAAAAAUGUCUCUUAAUCCAUUUAUUUCUUACAGUGUCUCUUUUGGUUACAUAAAAACGUUAACUGAUGGACUGGAGUGGUGUGGAUUACUUGUGGAAGAUUGUGAUGUUUUUAUCAGCUGUUUGGACUCUCAUUCUGACGACACCCAUUCACUGCAGAGGAUCCGUUGGUGAACAAGUGAUGGAAUGCUACAUUUCUCCAAAUCUGAUGAAGAAACAAACUCAUCUAUAUCUUUGAUGGCCUGAGGGCAAGGACGUUUUCAUUUUCGAUUGAGCUAUUCCUUUAGAUGAUUGUAUCUGUAAUUUUAAGAUUUAUGUUUAAACAUUAAGAAGCAGCUUUUGAAAUGUCUGAUGAUGAGCAGGUCUGGCGUUGUGAGUUAUAGAUGUAUAAACCAGACAUUUAGCUUUCAUGAAACAGUUGAAAAUCCAGAUGUAUGUCAAGUUGACCUGGAGAUUACUGAGCUAACUCACUAAGCCAGGUACAAGGAACGAGAUCCUGCGGUAAGCACCGUGUGGAAGGCUGUAUUGGAAACUAUGAGAGAGAGAAAGAGAGAGAUUAAGAAAGACAAAAAGAAGGAGGCACAGCGCCUAAAGGCGUAGACCAGUUUUUAUGGUUCAGCGAAAGGUAAAACUCAUUACUCGUUCUGCCAUCUUCAACCAUCUGUCUAACUUGGCUAAAAAAAGGUCUCAAGGCCUUCCGCCUUCAUACUGAUAACAUGCAAAUUUAGAACUAGUUAGGUGAAAAAAGACAGUGAUGCAAAGCAGAAUAGACUUAAAUUAGCAUGUGAGGAAUUGCUUACAGAUAGAUCUAAACGCCUUGAUGUGAACGAAUUCAGGUUUACUGAUAAAGGUUUCCAGAUGAAGAUUUUAUAGCUUUUAUUGUUUUUAUGUCAUAGCUCACUUUUUCUACCUCAAAAUUUCACAUUUUAUUCAAUGUGUUACUUGCUAUUUCUUUCUUUUUUCUUUUUGUUGUUGUUAUUGUUUUUUAGUAGUAAAGUAUGGAUAAAAAGUAUGUCUAUCCCACUGUAAAAAAAUCUCAGAUAGAUAGAUUGAUAGUCAAUGUUACUUGCUGUUUGCAAUAAUGAUAUUAGCAAAAAAUACAAAAAAUAAUGUUUUAUUUAUUUAGAUAAUUCGUUUUUUUUUCCACUGUAGAUAUAAAUCUAAAUAUAUAUAAUUAAAUAUUUGCAAAAAUGUAAAUUUGAUUUCUGAAUUUUUCUGAAAAUUUUCUUGUCUGAAACACAGGAUUAUGAAGUCUUAGUUUGUGUCUAGAUGCAGUUGAGAUUAUUUUGUCAUUCUGUGUUGUGUCUCCAAUUUUCCCACAAUUCUCAUUCAUUGACUUCAGAGCAGAACUUCUAUUAAGUAAAAUCCAUUCAUUUCUCCACUUUCUAAUGGGAAGUGUUGAAGUUUCCUCCAAGAACCACACAGUUUAAAUGCACUCAUGUGAAUACCAAAAUUAGCAGUGACUUAAAAGUAGGUCUCUUUCCUUCAAGCUCUCACAAUAAACAAAAACAACAAAUAACCACUAAAAAAUGUCAUCUGGUGCAGUAAACAUGCCACACUUUGUCUAAAACCUGGAAUGAAUCUCACAGACAUUAAGUGUUUCCAGUCUAGGGUGAAUCAUGGCUCAACCACACUCAUUUCCUGUAUGUGUUUAUGUGGGGGGUGUGUUAGCUGUCCGGGCUUGUUUUUAGCGCAAAACUGGAUGGAAAGAGGGAGGAUGACUAUAGCUGCAGUAUCACAUUUUUUUUUUGUUUUUUUUUUAAGAGAAUGUUCGAUUUGAAAAUUUAAAUCGAAACCAACACCAAAAUGGAAAUUCCGUGAUCAGUUACAUCAUGUGUUUAGUGUUUAGCGGAAUGUUCAUGUUUUAUGGGCUGUAAUGUUCCAAAAAUCAUCAAAUGUAUCACAAAAGUAUCUCAUUUGAUUACAAAGUGACAGUUUUGUUUUUGGGCGAACUGUAAUACAAAUGUGAUCCACCGCCAAGCAGGAUAGGCUAGAAUGAUUUUCAGAAAUGUAAUUGACAUUUUCGUUCCGAUUCAGAGCUUGAUUACAUGCUGAACAGUCCCCGUAGGUCAAUGGUAGUGAAGAUAGACAGCGCCAGUCUUGUGGAGUACCAAGCCCAUCUUUUUCAAACCACAAUGUAAAACAAGUAAAUGCAAAGUAUAUUUAUAGGCGGUGGAAAAUAACCCAUAAAUACAUUCGGCAUGACAAGAUGAUGCCUAUAAAUGUGUUUGCUGGAGAUGAACUAUACCAUAGAUGUACCGUGUUUACUCUGGCUUUGUUUGUCUUUGUUUAGGAGCUGUUUGACAUUGUAUCAGGCCACAUUCCAGGGUAAAGAUUUCUGGCAGAAGGUGCUGCAUGCUGUUGAAAUCUGUCUGUGCCACCUUGUCAGAAAGUUCCCGUCUUUAAAUAACAAUGAGAAUGAAGGGAAAGAGCACAUCCUUUAUCAGAUCUAUCAGAAUGAUACUCCGUCCUGUGUGUGUGGAUGAGGGCGAGACUGCGGUUUCAUUUUUAAAGGAAUAUUUCACCCAGAAUGAAAAUCCUGUCAUCAUCACGUCAUUCCAAACCCGCAUGACUUUCUUUGUAGCAUGAAACACAAAUUAAGAUAUUUUGAAGGAUCUGUAAACUCCUGUUUUCUAGAAAGUAAGAGUUAGUAAUAAUGAUGAAUGAAUGAAUGAAUGAAUAAAUAAAUAAAUAAAUUCAAAUGCAUGGUUUUUAGCAUAAAACACAAAGAAACAUAUUUUGAAGAAUCUCUAAAAGGCCAUUUUCUAUACAACAAAAUAAUAAUAAUAAUAAAAAUAAUAAUAAUAAUAAUAUAUAUAAUAGUCCAUGUAGUUUGUGCACUAUAUUCCAAGUCAUUAGCAUCGUAUAAUAUUCCACCUUUUUUUCUCAUUAAAAAGAAAAAUACAAAGCGAUGACAUGAGGGUGAGUAAAUGAUGACUGAAUUUUCAUUCUUGGGUGAACUAGUACUUUAAAACAAAUAGCCUGAGUGAAUAGACUAAACAUCUGGGAAGCCAAUAUUUGUGGUUCACUGACAUUUUCAAUGUUUUGAAAUUCAACUCCCUAUAAAAUAUGCUGGAAUGUAACGGGGAGAAGAGAAAGCAAAAUCGAGUAGCUGUACAGUGAAUGUUACAGUAGAGAUAACUGGCACGCCGGACGCAGGUUUCUUCUCACUUAUUUGUUCUUCAACCAGCAUGCACCUGUCCGAUCUCACUUCACACAGCUAAACAAGCAUGACUGUUGCACACAACAUCUGCUGACACAAACACUUCUGCAGAUAGAUACGGCUGUAUCUGACGAACAAAACAAACACAUGGAAAAAAACAGAUACACAGACAAGUGAGAAAGAGAUGAGCAGAUUGUAAAGAAAAUCUAAACCAAGUAAAUCAGUUAUCUUGGAAAUGUCUCCAACUGUUCUCAAAUUAGACAAUAUACAAAACUCAAACAUUCCUCCCAAUCUCCCAAGAUUAAAUGAUAUGAGCUGCGAUCCACAUUAUUACUGUAUCAGGGCCAAAUUUGUUUUUGUUUUUUUAGUUCACAAAUUAGAGAAUUGCUCAAAUACAGUUCAUUAGAUGUGAUUUAAUAAUUCAGUGGUGUCUUUUUAGUCAUAUUUUCGCCACAUAAGUUUUACAAUCUGUUAAACUGGACUUGACCUUGCUAAAUAAUAAUCAAUAAUCCCCACUUAUGCAAUAAAAAUGUGCAAUAUCCUUAUAUUUAUUUGUUACCCUUCCAUCCUAGUAGAUCCCUGCAUCUUACUCAAUCCUAUUCCAUUAUCAUUUACAGCACUAUUGUUUAUACACUUAUUUAUUUGCAAAGGUUUUUAAAUAUUUAUUUAUUUUUAUUUUUGACUGUGUGUUGUUGUCUCUGUGUACUGGAAGCUUAUGUCACUAAAACAAAUUCCUUGUAUGCGCAAGCAUACUUGGCAAUAAAGCUGUUUCUGAUUCUGAUAAUAUUUUUUGAAAUAUUUUAAGUAAAAAAUGUUAUGCGUCUUGAAUAUAAAUAGUAGUAACAAAGAAAACAUCACUAAUAAUAGUAAUAAAUGAAGAAAUAAAAUAAAUAAAUAAAAAGUGCACUAGUUAGUUCAGGUAGUUACAUAUUUUUGUUAUUUUUAUUAAUAUAUUUUGGAAUUUUUAAAAUGUCUUUUAUUACAGCAAAACUAAAUAUGUGGCUUUAAUCACGCUUAAUCAUUUUUAAAAAAAAAUAUCUUUAGGUAAUGAUUCCUAGUUCAUGUUUUAGUUGUUGCUUUGUAGCUUGCGUAUGACAACAAUUCUAAAAACAGGCUGGUCUGACUCAUCUAUUCGGAGACAAAGUAUGUAGGUCUCCUUCAAUGAAACAUUAAUCGAAAUCUCCUGGAAGUCUCCCGAAUGCUGAGCUUGACUGUAUAAAUCACAUUCUACUUUUGUUGAAUGAUAAAUAGAAGCUCAGAUGUUCAGAUUUCUCCUUUCACAGAAAAAGAAGGCCUGGCUCGACGGGGUGAGUAAAUGAUGCCCAAACUGUCAUUUUUUCAGCGAAUUAUCACGUCUUUCAAAGCAAAUGUGUUGAAAACAUUUCUGCUUCUCUUCAUUGAGCAAUGUAAGCACACAUCAGUUGUCAGACAAAUCAUUCUCUCCUUUUGUGUGUCCCUGUCACAGCAGCUCAGUUGAUCUUUAAGAGAGUUACUAUGAAUAUAACAGCUACUGCUGUGAAGAGAGGCAAGAAGACCAGAAAAUCCGGUUUGCAAAAGUGUGGAGUCCCUCCAAAUGCAUCUUUCACAGGGUGAGGUCACGCAAAUCUGGGGCAAGACAAGGAGGUCAGAGGCAGUUGAACGGAAAGCGUGUGAAGGUGAUCUGCCGAUACUCGCUGUUUGUGUUUGUCUGUGUGUGUCUGGGGGGCUGAAGCAAAGGAAGUGGAUGAAAGAGGCAAAGCUAGGCCAAGGGUGGGAGGGGAGCUGCGUGUAAACAUCCUGCGGGCAGCAGGGACUCGUCCUGGGAAAUAUUUGUCUUAGCUGGUAACGCAGAGAGGCAGCCAAAGCCUUCAUCUGGCCCUCAGCUAUUUUCUCAGAAAAUCUGGAGGGACGAAGGGCGGAGAGGAGACGGACAGAAAGAGAGUACAGUGAUGAGUAAAGGGCAGAGACGUCAUUUACAGUGGGAACAUGGACGAUUUUGUCUCCACCACUUUGUCACCACAACAUUUGGGGGGAAAAGUGUUUUGUCUUGUGGCAUUGGCAUAUUUUUGUUUCAAACAUAACCCGGUUCAAAAUAAACUUAAUCAUUAAAAAUUU